CAGUAGUAAAAUUAAAUCUAAACUAUCUUAUUAUGGCGGCAUCAUUAAUUUAAAGGAACUUGUUUUUUAAUCGAUAAUCCACGAUAAUUUUCACUUAAUUUUAAAAACUUAUAUACCUCCGUUUAUAAAAUCAUUCCAAUAAACUUAUUUGCAAUAAAAAAUAAAAAUCAGGUCAAGGUGUAGUCUAUCUUUAAGAAUAAAUGAGUUACAUUAAAAUUUAUUUAAGGAAUUCAACUAAAAUAAUUUUACGAAAAAGAAUUUAUAAAGUAAAUUAACAAUAAUAAUCUUAAUUUAAUUUCUCCACAAUGUGC
Molecule: ribosomal RNA, 311 nt
Filed under: Neostasina sp. MR164-MR350
Lineage: Eukaryota; Metazoa; Arthropoda; Arachnida; Araneae; Sparassidae
Description: partial 12S ribosomal RNA
Source: RNAcentral